RNAcentral lists this ribosomal RNA (681 nucleotides) under Vibrio neptunius. RNAcentral's name for it is "bacterial SSU rRNA". It matches the Rfam family "Bacterial small subunit ribosomal RNA", at positions 80 to 757 of the family's 1533-position model. Lineage: Bacteria; Pseudomonadati; Pseudomonadota; Gammaproteobacteria; Vibrionales; Vibrionaceae. RNAcentral also lists the same sequence under 1 other name. The record is from RNAcentral.
AGAUAACGGCGUCGAGCGGCGGACGGGUGAGUAAUGCCUGGGAAAUUGCCCUGAUGUGGGGGAUAACCAUUGGAAACGAUGGCUAAUACCGCAUAAUAGCUUCGGCUCAAAGAGGGGGACCUUYRGGCCUCUCGCGUCAGGAUAUGCCCAGGUGGGAUUAGCUAGUUGGUGAGGUAAUGGCUCACCAAGGCGACGAUCCCUAGCUGGUCUGAGAGGAUGAUCAGCCACACUGGAACUGAGACACGGUCCAGACUCCUACGGGAGGCAGCAGUGGGGAAUAUUGCACAAUGGGCGCAAGCCUGAUGCAGCCAUGCCGCGUGUAUGAAGAAGGCCUUCGGGUUGUAAAGUACUUUCAGCAGUGAGGAAGGUGGUGUCGUUAAUAGCGGCAUCAUUUGACGUUAGCUGCAGAAGAAGCACCGGCUAACUCCGUGCCAGCAGCCGCGGUAAUACGGAGGGUGCGAGCGUUAAUCGGAAUUACUGGGCGUAAAGCGCAUGCAGGUGGUUUGUUAAGUCAGAUGUGAAAGCCCGGGGCUCAACCUCGGAAUUGCAUUUGAAACUGGCAGACUAGAGUACUGUAGAGGGGGGUAGAAUUUCAGGUGUAGCGGUGAAAUGCGUAGAGAUCUGAAGGAAUACCGGUGGCGAAGGCGGCCCCCUGGACAGAUACUGACACUCAGAUGCGAA